CCUUGAAAUACCACCCUUUAAUGUUUGAUGUUCUAACGUGGACCCGUAAUCCGGGUUGCGGACAGUGUCUGGUGGGUAGUUUGACUGGGGCGGUCUCCUCCUAAAGAGUAACGGAGGAGCACGAAGGUUGGCUAAUCCUGGUCGGACAUCAGGAGGUUAGUGCAAUGGCAUAAGCCAGCUUGACUGCGAGCGUGACGGCGCGAGCAGGUGCGAAAGCAGGUCAUAGUGAUCCGGUGGUUCUGAAUGGAAGGGCCAUCGCUCAACGGAUAAAAGGUACUCCGGGGAUAACAGGCUGAUACCGCCCAAGAGUUCAUAUCGACGGCGGUGUUUGGCACCUCGAUGUCGGCUCAUCACAUCCUGGGGCUGAAGUAGGUCCCAAGGGUAUGGCUGUUCGCCAUUUAAAGUGGUACGCGAGCUGGGUUUAGAACGUCGUGAGACAGUUCGGUCCCUAUCUGCCGUGGGCGCUGGAGAAUUGAGGGGGGCUGCUCCUAGUACGAGAGGACCGGAGUGGACGCAUCACUGGUGUUCGGGUUGUCAUGCCAAUGGCACUGCCCGGUAGCUAAAUGCGGAAGAGAUAAGUGCUGAAAGCAUCUAAGCACGAAACUUGCCCCGAGAUGAGUUCUCCCUGACUCCUUGAGAGUCCUGAAGGAACGUUGAAGACGACGACGUUGAUAGGCCUGGUGUGUAAGCGCAGCGAUGCGUUGAGCUAACCGGUACUAAUGAACCGUGAGGCUUAACCUUACAACGCCGAAG
RNAcentral lists this ribosomal RNA (753 nucleotides) under Escherichia coli. RNAcentral's name for it is "partial 23S ribosomal RNA". It matches the Rfam family "Bacterial large subunit ribosomal RNA", at positions 2190 to 2925 of the family's 2925-position model. The record is from RNAcentral. Lineage: Bacteria; Pseudomonadati; Pseudomonadota; Gammaproteobacteria; Enterobacterales; Enterobacteriaceae.